UUCCUCAUGGUCUCGGAGGGGCUCCCCCGCAGCCCGGGAGGGGAGGCACAGGGGGUCCCCGGGCGGGGGAGACCACCCGGGGCCGAAGGCAGCUUCGACCGCGGAAACGGAGGAGUGGGAGUGUGAGGAGAAAUAUGCAAUGAUGACAUUUCCAAGAAGUGAUGGCAUCUGGCGCUAAGGACAAAGAAUGGGAUUUUGCCACAGGGAUCUUAUUCUCCCACAUGUUCUGUCUGAAGGAGAAAGUUAUCUGAGGCCUUAUAUGAUGCAAAACUUUGGACUCAAAGAAAUUAAAUCACUUGCCCAAGGUUACAUAGCUGCCCCUGGCAAACACCAUUCUACUUUCUGUCUCUACGAAUUUGACUACUCGAAGUACCUCAUGUGAAAUGUUGGUGCCAAAUGAACUUUUCUGGUUCUUCUGAAUAUGCCACUGUUGCUGGAGAAAUGUCACUGCUAGAGAAUAGAAGACUAUUAUUCCAAAGGGUAUUUGAGACUGACUGAAUCAGGUCUGGAACAUUAUUGAAAUGAGACCCACAAAGGAAGAGAUACUGAGGUGGUGACCAGAUGGAUAUAAACGGGCUGUGGAAAAAGAGAAUGCAUGGCCAAAAAUGGUGGUGCUCUCUGACCAAAAACUAAGGCCCUAUGACCAUGAAUGAAGCCAGAGGGCAGGUAGGAAUAGAUCAUUUGCUCCAGAAGAAGCUGGUUGCCAUGUCUUGAGGACAGUAAACCCUCUGGGGAGGUUCCUGUGGUAAGGAACAAGGGCUCCUGGCAAUAGCCUCUGAGUGAGCCACCUUGAAAAUGGAUUGUCCAGCCCCAGUCAAGCUUUCAGAGGACUGUAGCCCCUGCCAAUGUCUUCACCACAACCUCAUGAGAUCCCAAGCUACAACCACUCAGUUAAGUUAUGCCAAAAUUCCUGAUUCACAGAAAGUGACAUACAGGAGAGGUCACAGUUAAGAUCUUGAUGUUCUAUCUUGACCCAUAAUAUAGGAACUUCAUCUUUUGGGAAGCACCAGGGAGAGCUGCCUGUGCCUGGCAGAAGCUGCCCAUGCCCCACUGAUACCCCACAGUACUUCCUGUUCUGCUCAGUACUCCUGCUUCUUUCUACAAACAACUGUGAUUCUCUACCUGGGAGCUUCCUCUGGCCACAGGAGCCUGCUCACCUGAUUGGGACACCCUAGCAGUACUGGCUCAUAGAUGCAAGGGACUUGCCUUGUCGCUGAUGAGACUUUCGACUUGGACUUUUGAGUCAAUGCUGGAAUGAGUUAAGACUUUGGGGAACUGUUGGAAGGGUGUGAUUGUGUUUUGAAUUGUGAGGACAUGAGAUUUUGAAGAGGCUAAGGGCAGCGUCCCCACCUAAAUCUCAUCUUGAAUUGUAGUUCCCAUAAUCCCCACGUGUCGUGGGGUGGACCCGGUGGAGAUAAUUGAAUCAUGGGAACACUUUCCCCCAUGCUGUUAUUGUGAUUGUGAAUUCUCACGAGAUCUGAUGGUUUUAUAAAGGCCUUCCCUCUUCGCUGGGCACUCAUUUUUCUCCUUCCUGCCACCACGUGAAGAAGGAUAUGCUUGCUCCUUGUGCCACGAUUACAAGAACACACUCAGAAAUUUUCUCAACACAAUUUCUAUGCAGAGAAGAGAUGUGGGACAGAUUUGAACUGCUGUCAUAUUUGUAUGAACCCAAGACAUUUUCCAAGACCAAGAGGGAUAAAGACAGCAAUUUCUAUGACUGGCAUUUUACGUACAUGCACUGUUUCCAAGUGUUCUUAUGUUCUGUGCCUUAAACAUUCUGUGUUGCAACUUUAUGAAUUGAAUUAAAGAUAAUCCCAAGCC
RNAcentral lists this non-coding RNA (1821 nucleotides) under Pan troglodytes (chimpanzee). The record is from RNAcentral. Lineage: Eukaryota; Metazoa; Chordata; Mammalia; Primates; Hominidae.